Molecule: ribosomal RNA, 291 nt
Filed under: uncultured Spirochaeta sp.
Lineage: Bacteria; Pseudomonadati; Spirochaetota; Spirochaetia; Spirochaetales; Spirochaetaceae
Description: partial 16S ribosomal RNA
Rfam family: Bacterial small subunit ribosomal RNA
Source: RNAcentral
GCAACGAGCGCAACCCUAUCAUCUGUUGCCAGCAUUUAAGGUGGGGACUCAGAUGAGACUGCCGGUGACAAACCGGAGGAAGGUGGGGACGACGUCAAGUCAUCAUGGCCCUUAUGUCCUGGGCUACACACGUGCUACAAUGGCCGGUACAGAGUGAAGCGAAACCGCGAGGUGAAGCAAACGCAGAAAGCCGGUCUCAGUACGGAUUGGAGUCUGAAACUCGACUUCAUGAAGUUGGAAUCGCUAGUAAUCGCGCAUCAGCAUGGCGCGGUGAAUACGUUCCCGGGCCUU